GGUCUAGGCGGGCUCGUCAGUCGGGUAUGAAAGCCCUCGGCUCAACCGGGGAAUGGUGCCCGAUACUGCGGGCCUUGAGUGCAGCAGAGGAGAGUGGAACUCCUGGUGGAGCGGUGAAAUACGUAGAUAUCAGGAGGAACGCCGGAGGCGAAAGCGAUUCUCUGGGCUGCUACUGACGCUGAAGCCCGAAAGCCAGGGGAGCGAAC
This 206-nucleotide ribosomal RNA is filed under the name uncultured bacterium. Its description in RNAcentral is "partial 16S ribosomal RNA". It matches the Rfam family "Bacterial small subunit ribosomal RNA", at positions 568 to 773 of the family's 1533-position model. The record is from RNAcentral.